GGCCGGCCUGACAUGCGCAGUGCGCGGGCGCUGCGACCGGGCGGGCCCCGGGUACGCCGAUGGCCCGGGACGCGGAGAAGCUGAGCCUGGGAGGCAGGUCCCACUGACAGCCCAGGCCAUGGGAUUUGAAGAACGUUGGUGUGGGAGACCUUCCCCAGAGCAUGGCCAGUCCUCUGAGGGCCACCAUCCCUACCUGCUUCCUACUGGGACCGUCCAGGGACAAGACUUCACCCAUCAAAUUCCUCAUCUCUGAAAACCGAGGAGGCAUCUGGAUCCAGGAGCUGUGCUCUGCGAGGAGCCUCCGCCGGCCACAACAGCUCUGGCAGCCGCCCUCCCUGUCCUCCAGGAGCUCACUUAUAUCUGGCCGUGAGCUCCUCGAGGCCAGAGCCCGCGUCUGCCUCCACUCAGCACCAAUCCAAGAUCCCCAGAGGCCGUGGCGCCCCCCACUACACACACAGGGCCACACGACUCCCAUUUUUCAUAGCAGCUUCUGUAGUGUACCAAAGCAGCAGCUUCCUAAAUCAUCAAUGCACAUUUUCUGAAGUUCCUGUUUUAAUCCGGAUACUGGGAACAGGGGCGCCUGGGUGGCUGUCAGUUAAUCUGCCUUUAGCUCAGGUCAUGAUCCUGGGAUCCUGGGAUCGAGUCCAACAUCAGGCUCCCUGCUCAGUGGAGAGCCUGCUUCUCCCUCUGCCUAACCCACCCCCUCCCCCCACUUGUGCACAUGCUCGCUUUCUCUCUCUCUCAAGUGAGUAAAAUUUUUUUUUUAAGUGAGUAAAAUUUAAAAGCAAGACACCAUGUCGUAUUUAUGGUGUGACUUUGCUUUUAUAAGAAAAAUGCAGCUUUGGGGCACCUGAGUGGCUCCAUCAGUUACAUAUCUGCCUUUGGCUCAGGACAUGGUCCCAGGGUUCUGGGAUCAAGCCCCGCAUUGGGCUCCCUACUCAGCAGAGACCCUGCUUCUGCUUCUCCCCCUGCCUCUAUUGUUCCCCCUACCUGUGGUUGGUUCAUGCACUAGCUCGCUCACUCUCUCUCUCUCAAAUAACAUCUUAAAAAAAAAAAAAAAGAUACUGCAAACAAAAUGAAACUGGAAAAUUGUCCCAUUUGCACAGAAGCAAAGAAGUGACUAUUCACAUGUUAACUCAGGCAGGUGUCUUGGGGUGGUGAGAGGGAGUUUGGGGAGAUCAGCCUGAGGAGGAAGGGGCAGUGCACCCCUGCACAUUUUACUGAACUGGAGUCUACUAGGUGUUGCUCUGGGUCUCUGGUCAUGGCCUUGACGCCAGUUCUGUAGACAGUGCCACCGAGGAACCCAGGUGGGGGGUAGGCAGGAGGUCUGUAUUGCCUCUAUCAGCUGCAUGUGUGUCUACUUAUAUCAAAAUAAAACAUUGCAUUGAAAAAUUCUAGGAAAUACUCUCGUUUGUCCUUGUUUAUAGAAAAGGAA
Long non-coding RNA from Nyctereutes procyonoides (raccoon dog), 1435 nucleotides. RefSeq lists it as uncharacterized. The record is from RefSeq and is a predicted model, not a curated record. The transcript has 3 exons. NCBI's taxonomy places the organism in Eukaryota, Metazoa, Chordata, Mammalia, Carnivora, Canidae.